This is a non-coding RNA of Mus musculus (house mouse), 350 nucleotides long. The record is from the annotation of a RefSeq genome assembly. NCBI's taxonomy places the organism in Eukaryota, Metazoa, Chordata, Mammalia, Rodentia, Muridae.
AUGCUGAUUCUAAGCCUGUUGGGAGCAGCCUUUGGCUCCAUUUGUUUUGCAACCAGCAUGGCCCAGAAGGUAACACAGACUCAGACUUCAAUUUCUGUGGUGGAGAAGACAACGGUGACAAUGGACUGUGUGUAUGAAACCCGGGACAGUUCUUACUUCUUAUUCUGGUACAAGCAAACAGCAAGUGGGGAAAUAGUUUUCCUUAUUCGUCAGGACUCUUACAAAAAGGAAAAUGCAACAGUGGGUCAUUAUUCUCUGAACUUUCAGAAGCCAAAAAGUUCCAUCGGACUCAUCAUCACCGCCACACAGAUUGAGGACUCAGCAGUAUAUUUCUGUGCUAUGAGAGAGGG